AGCCGGGGCUUCUUCUCCGGCUACCGUCAUUAUCUUCACCGGUGAAAGAGUUUUACAACCCUAAGGCCUUCUUCACUCACGCGGCAUGGCUGCAUCAGGCUUUCGCCCAUUGUGCAAUAUUCCC
Molecule: ribosomal RNA, 124 nt
Filed under: uncultured bacterium
Lineage: Bacteria
Description: partial 16S ribosomal RNA
Source: RNAcentral